AUGUGCAGGCUGGAGGACACUGUGGAAAGUGCUGGGUGUGGGGGGAGUGGAACAGGACGCCUGGGGAUCUGCUCCUGUGGUCCCCUUCCUUUGCCCACCAGUCCCCUGCCCCCGCAGAAAGGGGGCUGUCUUUCUAACACAGUCACCGGCUGUCACCAAGGGCAGGGCUGCCUCAGAUAUGAAGGGGAAGCCCUGUCCCUUAGGUUGUCCUUGUGUGUGCCAUCUGUCCCUGUGAAAUCGGUGUGUGCCGUCUGUGAUGCCACCAGCCUGGACUUCCCCGAGACCUCCAGACGCAGAAAACCCCGGCCCUGGCACCAGUUCAUUCCUGCUCUAGCCUCAGCUCGAUGCUACCCUCUUGGAGGACACCUCCCGAAGCGCCUGUGUAAAGGAGCUGUCUCCCUCUCCGGCAUCCAUGAUGGCAUCUUGGUUUGUCUCCUUCCUUCUGUCAUUGGCGAACUGCCGUUGCCUUGCUUAUUCAUUUGAGACUUGAAUGUAAGUUUCAGAGAGACCUUCUCAUUUGUGCCCCUUUCCUUUCC
This 536-nucleotide long non-coding RNA is filed under the name Mustela putorius furo (domestic ferret). Its description in RNAcentral is "lncRNA (ENSMPUG00000026094.1)". The record is from RNAcentral. Lineage: Eukaryota; Metazoa; Chordata; Mammalia; Carnivora; Mustelidae.